This 253-nucleotide ribosomal RNA is filed under the name uncultured bacterium. Its description in RNAcentral is "partial 16S ribosomal RNA". It matches the Rfam family "Bacterial small subunit ribosomal RNA", at positions 524 to 776 of the family's 1533-position model. The record is from RNAcentral.
UACAGAGGUCCCAAGCGUUGUUCGGAUUCACUGGGCGUAAAGGGUCCGUAGGCGGUUUGGUAAGUCAGUGGUGAAAGCCCUUCGCUCAACGGAGGAACGGCCAUUGAUACUGCCAGACUUGAAUUACUGGGAAGUAACUAGAAUAUGUAGUGUAGCGGUGAAAUGCUUAGAUAUUACAUGGAAUACCAAUUGCGAAGGCAGGUUACUACCGGUGGAUUGACGCUGAUGGACGAAAGCGUGGGGAGCGAACAGG